UCUACGGGUGGCAGCAGUGAGGAAUAUUGGUCAAUGGGCGUAAGCCUGAACCAGCCAAGUCGCGUGAGGGAUGAAGGUUCUAUGUAUCGUACACCUCUUUUAUAAGGGAAUAAAGUGUGGGACGUGUCCUCUUUUGUAUGUACCUUAUGAAUAAGGAUCGGCUAACUCCGUGCCAGCAGCCGCGGUAAUACGGAGGCUCCGAGCGUUAUCCGGAUUUAUUGGGUUUAAAGGGUGCGUAGGCGGCCUUUUAAGUCAGCGGUGAAAGUCUGUGGCUCAACCCCGGAAUUGCCGUUGAAACUGGGGGGCGUGAGUGGGUUUGAGGUAGGCGGAAUGCGUGGUGUAGCGGUGAAAUGCUUAGAUAUCACGCAGAACUCCGAUUGCGAAGGCAGCCUGCCAAGCCAUGACUGACGCUGAGGCACGAAAGCGUGGGGAUCAAACAGGAUUAGAUACCCGAGUAGUC
This 460-nucleotide ribosomal RNA is filed under the name uncultured bacterium. RNAcentral's name for it is "partial 16S ribosomal RNA". It matches the Rfam family "Bacterial small subunit ribosomal RNA", at positions 338 to 795 of the family's 1533-position model. The record is from RNAcentral.